GACAAACGCUGGCGGCAUGCCUAACACAUGCAAGUCGAACGGACAGAACAGGGAAGCUUUUCGGAGUGGAACUGGAAAGUUAGUGGCGGAUGGGUGAGUAACGCGUGGACAACCUACCUUGUAAAGGGGAAUAACCUCGAGAAAUCGAAGCUAAUACCCCAUAAUAACCUUGCUUCGCAUGAAGUAAGGAGGAAAGGCGGCCUUAGCGCUGUCGAUACAAGAUGGGUCCGCGUCUGAUUAGCUAGUUGGUGAGGUAAAGGCUCACCAAGGCGACGAUCAGUAGCCGGCAUGAGAGGGUGAACGGCCACAUUGGGACUGAGACACGGCCCAAACUCCUACGGGAGGCAGCAGUGGGGAAUCUUCCGCAAUGGGCGAAAGCCUGACGGAGCAAUGCCGCGUGAGUGAAGAAGGCCUUCGGGCUGUAAAACUCUGUCCUUAUCGAAGAGAGAGUGUUGUAGUAACUGACAAUACUAGGACGGUAGAUGAGGAGGAAGCCCCGGCUAACUAUGUG
Molecule: ribosomal RNA, 511 nt
Filed under: uncultured bacterium
Lineage: Bacteria
Description: partial 16S ribosomal RNA
Rfam family: Bacterial small subunit ribosomal RNA
Source: RNAcentral